CCACGUUUUGUCAGUUUAGAGCAAAAGUGGAUGAUGGCGGAUGAAGUGCUGGAUCAAUUGCGAAGCUUUCUGUGAUUUUUUCCCAAUUGAGCCUCGUUGUGUGAACUGGUCCAUCAAAUCUCAACAGAGCCGAAGAGGGCACCCAUAUAACUUCGAGAUGCUGGACAAUAUUUGCUGUGGACGCUGGACAGCCAGAAAUUUCAUGGACUUAUAUAAAUUAAGUGUUUGCUAUGUAUUAUUAUGACCUAAUUUUAAUUAUUUAAUAAAGAAUUACUUUGUAAAAAUGAAAA
Long non-coding RNA from Neocloeon triangulifer, 290 nucleotides. RefSeq lists it as uncharacterized. The record is from RefSeq and is a predicted model, not a curated record. The transcript is spliced from 2 exons. Lineage: Eukaryota; Metazoa; Arthropoda; Insecta; Ephemeroptera; Baetidae.